Molecule: small RNA, 56 nt
Filed under: Arabidopsis thaliana (thale cress)
Lineage: Eukaryota; Viridiplantae; Streptophyta; Magnoliopsida; Brassicales; Brassicaceae
Description: ATSL086550
Source: RNAcentral
AAUGUUUUGAAAAAAUAGCCUGGCGGUGUACCGCGAGUUAAAAUCUAGUUGUAAUA